Molecule: ribosomal RNA, 418 nt
Filed under: uncultured eukaryote
Lineage: Eukaryota
Description: SSU rRNA
Rfam family: Eukaryotic small subunit ribosomal RNA
Source: RNAcentral
CCGAUCUCCAGCAGCCGCGGUAAUUCCAGCUCCAAUAGCGUAUAUUAAAGUUGUUGCAGUUAAAAAGCUCGUAGUUGGAUUUCUGCGAGGGUGCCAAUGUCCGCCGACGCGCGUGCGCAGCGGCGCCCUCGCAUCCUUCUGUUACCACCUCUCGGCAUUCACUUGCCGGUGGCCGGCUCAGAGAAUUUACCUUGAGAAAAUUAGAGUGUUUCAGGCAGGCUAGGCCGGAAUACAUUAGCAUGGAAUAAUGGAAUAGGACUACGGUCUCGUUGUUGGUUUGAGGGACUGCAGUAAUGAUUAAUAGGGAUAGUUGGGGGCAUUAGUAUUUAAUUGCCAGAGGUGAAAUUCUCAGAUUUGUUAAAGACUAACUUAUGCGAAAGCAUUGCCAAGGAUGUUUUCAUUAAUCAAGAACGAAAGU